RNAcentral lists this ribosomal RNA (253 nucleotides) under uncultured bacterium. RNAcentral describes it as "partial 16S ribosomal RNA". It matches the Rfam family "Bacterial small subunit ribosomal RNA", at positions 524 to 776 of the family's 1533-position model. The record is from RNAcentral.
UACGGAGGGUGCAAACGUUGCUCGGAAUCAUUGGGCGUAAAGCGCACGUAGGCGGCCUGAUAAGUCGGGUGUGAAAGCCCUGGGCUCAACCCAGGAAGUGCACUCGAAACUGUCAGGCUUGAAUAUGGAAGAGGGUCGCGGAAUUCCCGGUGUAGAGGUGAAAUUCGUAGAUAUUGGGAAGAACACCGGUGGCGAAGGCGGCGACCUGGUCCGACACUGACGCUGAGGCGCGAAAGCGUGGGGAGCAAACAGG